RNAcentral lists this ribosomal RNA (424 nucleotides) under uncultured prokaryote. RNAcentral describes it as "bacterial SSU rRNA". It matches the Rfam family "Bacterial small subunit ribosomal RNA", at positions 355 to 796 of the family's 1533-position model. The record is from RNAcentral.
UGGGGAAUCUUAGACAAUGGGCGCAAGCCUGAUCUAGCGAUGCCGCGUGAGUGACGAAGGCCCUAGGGUCGUAAAGCUCUUUCGCCAGGGAUGAUAAUGACAGUACCUGGUAAAGAAACCCCGGCUAACUCCGUGCCAGCAGCCGCGGUAAUACGGAGGGGGUUAGCGUUGUUCGGAAUUACUGGGCGUAAAGCGUCUGCAGGUGGCUAUGCAAGUCUGCUGUUAAAGAGUGGAGCUCAACUCCAUAAGGGCAGUGGAAACUGCGUAACUAGAGUACGUUCGGGGUAGAGGGAAUUCCUGGUGUAGCGGUGAAAUGCGUAGAUAUCAGGAAGAACACCGGUGGCGAAAGCGCCCUACUAGGCCGUAACUGACACUGAGAGACGAAAGCUAAGGGAGCGAAUGGGAUUAGAUACCCCCGUAGUCC